UGUGUGUGUGUGUGUGCUGUGUGAGGGUGCUGGUAGUGUGCUCUGUGGGUGAGGGUGUUUGUGUGUGUGUGUGCGCUUGUGAGGGUGCUGUUAAUGUACUGUGUGUGAGGUUGCUGUUUGUUUGUGAGGGUACUGGUAGUGUGCUGUGUGUGUGUUUGUUAGGGAUCUGUUAGUGUGCUGUGCGAGGGUGCUGUUUGUGUUUGUGAGGGUACUGUUAGUGUGCUGUGUGUGUGUGAGGGUGCUGUUUGUGUGCUGUGUGUGUUUGUAAGGGUGCUGUAUGUGUGUGGGUGCUGUGUGUGUGUGGGUGUGGGUGCUGUGUGUGUGGGUGCUGUGUGUGUGUGGUUGAUGUGUGUUCUGUUUGUGUGCUGUAUGUGUGAGGAUGCUGUGUGUGUGCUGUAUGUGUGUGGGUGCUGUGUGUGUGUGCUGUAUGUGUGUGUGUGCUGUUUGUGUGCUGUAUGUGUGUGUGCUGUUUGUGUGCUGUAUGUGUGUGUGUGCUGUAUGUGUGUGUGUGUGCUGUAUGUGUGCUGUAUGUGUGUGUGCUCUGUAUGUAUGUGUGCUGUAUGUGUGUGUGCUGUAUGUGUGUGUGUGUGCUGUAUGUGUGUGUGCUGUUUGUGUGCUGUAUGUGUGUGUGUGCUGUGUGUGUGCUGUAUGUGUGUGUGCUGUUUGUGUGCUGUAUGUGUGUGUGCUGUGUGUGUGCUGUAUGUGUGUGUGCUGUAUGUGUGUGUGCUGUGUGUGUGCUGUAUGUGUGUGUGUGCUGUUUGGGUGAUUUGUGGGGGUGGAGGUGGGGGCAGAUAAGUUAAUAAAUAUCCCCCUUCC
This is a non-coding RNA of Pelobates cultripes (western spadefoot toad), 816 nucleotides long. Lineage: Eukaryota; Metazoa; Chordata; Amphibia; Anura; Pelobatidae. The record is from the annotation of a GenBank genome assembly.